UUAUGGCUCAGGAUGAACGCUAGCUACAGGCUUAACACAUGCAAGUCGAGGGGCAGCGAGAGGAAAGCUUGCUUCCUGUCGGCGACCGGCGCACGGGUGAGUAACGCGUAUCCAACCUUCCCCAUAGUAGAGGAUAGCCCGGCGAAAGUCGGAUUAAUACUCUAUGUUGUACAACGAGGACAUCUGAAUUGUACCAAAGAUUCAUCGCUAUGGGAUGGGGAUGCGUCUGAUUAGCUUGUUGGCGGGGUAACGGCCCACCAAGGCGACGAUCAGUAGGGGUUCUGAGAGGAAGGUCCCCCACAUUGGUACUGAGACACGGACCAAACUCCUACGGGAGGCAGCAGUGAGGAAUAUUGGUCAAUGGACGAGAGUCUGAACCAGCCAAGUAGCGUGCAGGAAUGACUGCCCUAUGGGUUGUAAACUGCUUUUAUGCGGGAAUAAAGUCAGGUACGUGUACCUGUUUGUAUGUACCGCAUGAAUAAGGACCGGCUAAUUCCGUGCCAGCCGCUGC
This 511-nucleotide ribosomal RNA is filed under the name uncultured bacterium. RNAcentral's name for it is "bacterial SSU rRNA". It matches the Rfam family "Bacterial small subunit ribosomal RNA", at positions 17 to 518 of the family's 1533-position model. The record is from RNAcentral.